This 253-nucleotide ribosomal RNA is filed under the name uncultured bacterium. RNAcentral describes it as "partial 16S ribosomal RNA". It matches the Rfam family "Bacterial small subunit ribosomal RNA", at positions 524 to 776 of the family's 1533-position model. The record is from RNAcentral.
UACGAGUGCCCCAAGCGUUACCCGGAAUUAUUGGGCGUAAAGAGUCUGUAGGUGGUUCUGUUAGUCAUGUGUUAAAGCUCCUGGCUUAACUGGGAAAAAGCAUAUGAAACGGCAGGACUAGAGGGUAUGAGAGGUGUGCGGAACUCAUGGUGUAGGGGUGAAAUCCGUUGAUAUUAUGGGGAACACCGAAAGCGAAGGCAGCACACUGGCAUAUUCCUGACACUGAGAGACGAAAGCGUGGGUAGCGAAUGGG